RNAcentral lists this ribosomal RNA (253 nucleotides) under uncultured Rikenellaceae bacterium. RNAcentral's name for it is "partial 16S ribosomal RNA". It matches the Rfam family "Bacterial small subunit ribosomal RNA", at positions 524 to 776 of the family's 1533-position model. Lineage: Bacteria; Pseudomonadati; Bacteroidota; Bacteroidia; Bacteroidales; Rikenellaceae. The record is from RNAcentral.
UACGGAGGAUUCAAGCGUUAUCCGGAUUUAUUGGGUUUAAAGGGUGCGUAGGCGGUCGGAUAAGUUAGAGGUGAAAUCCCGAGGCUCAACUUCGGAAUUGCCUCUGAUACUGUUCGGCUAGAGAGUAGUUGCGGUAGGCGGAAUGUAUGGUGUAGCGGUGAAAUGCUUAGAGAUCAUACAGAACACCGAUUGCGAAGGCAUCUCACGAAUCCGCGAUUGACGCUGAUGCACGAAAGCGUGGGUAUCAAACAGG